GGAGGGGUGCCAGAGCGGCCGAAUGGGCCGGUUUCGAAAACCGGUGUGGUCGCAAGAUCACCCAGGGUUCAAAUCCCUGCCCCUCCGCCA
Molecule: transfer RNA, 90 nt
Filed under: Planctomycetaceae bacterium
Lineage: Bacteria; Pseudomonadati; Planctomycetota; Planctomycetia; Planctomycetales; Planctomycetaceae
Also listed under: 1 other name
Description: tRNA-Ser
Rfam family: tRNA
About the family: Transfer RNA (tRNA) molecules are approximately 80 nucleotides in length. Their secondary structure includes four short double-helical elements and three loops (D, anti-codon, and T loops).
Source: RNAcentral